This 326-nucleotide long non-coding RNA is filed under the name Solanum tuberosum (potato). RNAcentral's name for it is "long non-coding RNA (STUB_LNC010590)". Lineage: Eukaryota; Viridiplantae; Streptophyta; Magnoliopsida; Solanales; Solanaceae. The record is from RNAcentral.
GGAAAUCCAUGUGCCAUCUGUUCUUAUUUUCUUUCACUGUGGAGAAAAUAUUUGUUUUAGUUUUGUCCAAAAUUUAGAGAACUUUGUUUUCCUUCUCCUUUGUUGAAUAUGUCGGAUUAUUGUUUGUUGUGGUUUCUAUAGCUUGUUUUAUUUUGACUCACUACUAUGAGUAUUAAUUUUAUUUUUUGUUUAUGUCUCAUGUGAACUUGUCGUGGAGUCCAAUUUGGACUCAAAUCCAUCUCCUUUUCAUAUCGUUGAGUUAUUUUGAGUCAGUCGGGUGAUCCGAAUAGGGCUGUACAAGGCUGGAAAACUGAAACAAGUCUUGG